UCCUCAAUCCUUUUUUUUUUCUUUUUUUUUUCUUUUCCUUUUCUUUUCUUUUCUCUUCUCUUUUACUUUAAUCUUCCGGUCCUUAUAUUAUCAUUACAUUUAUUUGUAUGACUAGAUCGUUUAGAUUCUUAAAUAGGAGUUAACGUAGAAGUUCUAAUGAACUUUUCAAGGAGUAGAUUGAUUCUUUAUCGGUUUUGCCCA
Cucurbita maxima (winter squash) is the source of this 201-nucleotide long non-coding RNA. RefSeq lists it as uncharacterized. NCBI's taxonomy places the organism in Eukaryota, Viridiplantae, Streptophyta, Magnoliopsida, Cucurbitales, Cucurbitaceae. The record is from RefSeq and is a predicted model, not a curated record. The transcript has 2 exons.